RNAcentral lists this ribosomal RNA (484 nucleotides) under uncultured bacterium. Its description in RNAcentral is "partial 16S ribosomal RNA". It matches the Rfam family "Bacterial small subunit ribosomal RNA", at positions 30 to 507 of the family's 1533-position model. The record is from RNAcentral.
AUUGAACGCUGGCGGCAGGCCUAACACAUGCAAGUCGAGCGGAUGAAGGGAGCUUGCUCCUGGAUUCAGCGGCGGACGGGUGAGUAAUGCCUAGGAAUCUGCCUGGUAGUGGGGGAUAACGUCCGGAAACGGGCGCUAAUACCGCAUACGUCCUGAGGGAGAAAGUGGGGGAUCUUCGGACCUCACGCUAUCAGAUGAGCCUAGGUCGGAUUAGCUAGUUGGUGGGGUAAAGGCCUACCAAGGCGACGAUCCGUAACUGGUCUGAGAGGAUGAUCAGUCACACUGGAACUGAGACACGGUCCAGACUCCUACGGGAGGCAGCAGUGGGGAAUAUUGGACGAUGGGCGAAAGCCUGAUACAGCCAUGCCGCGUGUGUGAAGAAGGUCUUCGGAUUGUAAAGCACUUUAAGUUGGGAGGAAGAGCAGUAAGUUAAUACCUUGCUGUUUUGACGUUACCAACAGAAUAAGCACCGGCUAACUUCGUG